Molecule: long non-coding RNA, 406 nt
Filed under: Mus spretus (western wild mouse)
Lineage: Eukaryota; Metazoa; Chordata; Mammalia; Rodentia; Muridae
Description: lncRNA (ENSMSPG00010034026.1)
Rfam family: Rhabdomyosarcoma 2 associated transcript conserved region 9 (bases 168-360)
Source: RNAcentral
GGUUAUCUCCUAACCUCAGAUGUUGGAUAAGUCCACAGAAACAGCAGCGCCUCUGGAUGGCUUCAGAAGGCUGGAGUGAUUGUUUGGACGAGAAAAACCCGCCUAUUCAUUCAAAGGUACAUGAAUGUUGUCGACACUGUCCCAUCUAAAGGUUCAUCCUCAGAAUCCUGCCUUAGACAAAGGAAGCGCUUGGAGCCCCACCACACCUAAAACCACGCUUUGAAGGAUCUGCCAAGCUCACUUUUAAUCAUGAGAAAGAAAUUACCCACAUGGAGACAGCAGAAAAUGAGAAAGUAGAGAUCGUGCUGCGAAUAAUUCCAGCGAGUGCCAAGGGGCUAGUUGAGGAAUGGCUUCAUGAGGUGAAUAUCUUUAGCUUGUACUUAGGGUUUGGUUAGCGUAUAAUCAU